This is a non-coding RNA of Acanthosepion pharaonis, 129 nucleotides long. The record is from the annotation of a GenBank genome assembly. NCBI's taxonomy places the organism in Eukaryota, Metazoa, Mollusca, Cephalopoda, Sepiida, Sepiidae.
CUGCGAUCAUAUCACGUUGAAACACCGGCUCCCAUACAUGCACCCGUUAACUGAUUUUUGAAGUUAAGCAACGUCGAGCCUGGUCGGGACCUAGAUGGGUGACCGCUUGUGAAUACAAAGUGCUGCAAA